CUCCGUGAAUCGGAGGCGGG
This 20-nucleotide small nuclear RNA is filed under the name Arabidopsis thaliana (thale cress). RNAcentral's name for it is "snRNA_15463". The record is from RNAcentral. Lineage: Eukaryota; Viridiplantae; Streptophyta; Magnoliopsida; Brassicales; Brassicaceae.